GUGGGUAACCUACCUAUAAGACUGGGAUAACUUCGGGAAACCGGAGCUAAUACCGGAUAACAUUUGGAACCGCAUGGUUCUAAAGUGAAAGAUGGUUUUGCUAUCACUUAUAGAUGGACCCGCGCCGUAUUAGCUAGUUGGUAAGGUAACGGCUUACCAAGGCGACGAUACGUAGCCGACCUGAGAGGGUGAUCGGCCACACUGGAACUGAGACACGGUCCAGACUCCUACGGGAGGCAGCAGUAGGGAAUCUUCCGCAAUGGGCGAAAGCCUGACGGAGCAACGCCGCGUGAGUGAUGAAGGGUUUCGGCUCGUAAAACUCUGUUAUUAGGGAAGAACAAAUGUGUAAGUAACUGUGCACGUCUUGACGGUACCUAAUCAGAAAGCCACGGCUAACUACGUGCCAGCAGCCGCGGUAAUACGUAGGUGGCAAGCGUUAUCCGGAAUUAUUGGGCGUAAAGCGCGCGUAGGCGGUUUCUUAAGUCUGAUGUGAAAGCCCACGGCUCAACCGUGGAGGGUCAUUGGAAACUGGGAAACUUGAGUGCAGAAGAGGAAAGUGGAAUUCCAUGUGUAGCGGUGAAAUGCGCAGAGAUAUGGAGGAACACCAGUGGCGAAGGCGACUUUCUGGUCUGUAACUGACGCUGAUGUGCGAAAGCGUGGGGAUCAAACAGGAUUAGAUACCCUGGUAGUCCACGCCGUAAACGAUGAGUGCUAAGUGUUAGGGGGUUUCCGCCCCUUAGUGCUGCAGCUAACGCAUUAAGCACUCCGCCUGGGGAGUACGACCGCAAGGUUGAAACUCAAAGGAAUUGACGGGGACCCGCACAAGCGGUGGAGCAUGUGGUUUAAUUCGAAGCAACGCGAAGAACCUUACCAAAUCUUGACAUCCUUUGAAAACUCUAGAGAUAGAGCCUUCCCCUUCGGGGGACAAAGUGACAGGUGGUGCAUGGUUGUCGUCAGCUCGUGUCGUGAGAUGUUGGGUUAAGUCCCGCAACGAGCGCAACCCUUAAGCUUAGUUGCCAUCAUUAAGUUGGGCACUCUAGGUUGACUGCCGGUGACAAACCGGAGGAAGGUGGGGAUGACGUCAAAUCAUCAUGCCCCUUAUGAUUUGGGCUACACACGUGCUACAAUGGACAAUACAAAGGGCAGCUAAACCGCGAGGUCAUGCAAAUCCCAUAAAGUUGUUCUCAGUUCGGAUUGUAGUCUGCAACUCGACUACAUGAAGCUGGAAUCGCUAGUAAUCGUAGAUCAGCAUGCUACGGUGAAUACGUUCCCGGGUCUUGUACACACCGCCCGUCACACCACGAGAGUUUGUAACACCCGAAGCCGGUGGAGUAACCAUUUAUGGAGCUAGCCGUC
RNAcentral lists this ribosomal RNA (1356 nucleotides) under Staphylococcus saprophyticus. RNAcentral's name for it is "bacterial SSU rRNA". It matches the Rfam family "Bacterial small subunit ribosomal RNA", at positions 117 to 1457 of the family's 1533-position model. Lineage: Bacteria; Bacillati; Bacillota; Bacilli; Caryophanales; Staphylococcaceae. The record is from RNAcentral.